CCUACGGGUGGCAGCAGUGAGGAAUAUUGGUCAAUGGGCGCGAGCCUGAACCAGCCAAGUCGCGUGAGGGAGGACGGCCCUCCGGGUUGUAAACCUCUUUUGCCGGGGAGCAACUGACGUCACGUGUGUCGCCACUCAGAGUACCCUGAGAACAAGCAUCGGCAAACUCCGUUCCAGCAGCCGCGGUAAUACGGAGGAGGCUAGCGUUAGCCGGCUUUAUUGGGUGUAAAGGUUGCGUAGGCGGAGCGUUAAGUCAGUGGUAAAAUUGGGGGGCUAAACCCCUUCCCGCCAUUGAAACUGGCGAUCUUGAGUGGAAGAGAGGUAUGCGGAAUGCGUGGUGUAGCGGUGAAAUGCAUAGAUAUCACGCAGAACACCGAUUGCGAAGGCAGCAUGCCGGCUUCCGACUGACGCUGAAGCACGAAAGCGUGGGGAUCGAACAGGAUUAGAUACCCCAGUAGUC
This 460-nucleotide ribosomal RNA is filed under the name uncultured bacterium. Its description in RNAcentral is "partial 16S ribosomal RNA". It matches the Rfam family "Bacterial small subunit ribosomal RNA", at positions 338 to 795 of the family's 1533-position model. The record is from RNAcentral.